CCUACGGGGGGCAGCAGUGAGGAAUAUUGGUCAAUGGGCUUACGCCUGAACCAGCCAAGUCGCGUGAGGGAAGACUGCCCUAUGGGUUGUAAACCUCUUUUGUCAGGGAGCAACUCCGGCUACGUGUAGCCGGACUGAGAGUACCUGACGAAAAAGCAUCGGCUAACUCCGUGCCAGCAGCCGCGGUAAUACGGAGGAUGCGAGCGUUAUCCGGAUUUAUUGGGUUUAAGGGGUGCGUAGGCGGAAUGCCAAGUCAGCGGUAAAAUCGCGGGGCUAACCCUCGCUCUGCCGUUGAAACUGGCGGUCUUGAGUGGGCGAGAGGUAUGCGGAAUGCGUGGUGUAGCGGUGAAAUGCAUAGAGAUCACGCAGAACUCCGAUUGCGAAGGCAGCAUACCGGCGAACAACUGACGCUGAAGCACGAAAGCGUGGGUAUCGAACAGGAUUAGAUACCCGAGUAGUC
RNAcentral lists this ribosomal RNA (460 nucleotides) under uncultured bacterium. RNAcentral describes it as "partial 16S ribosomal RNA". It matches the Rfam family "Bacterial small subunit ribosomal RNA", at positions 338 to 795 of the family's 1533-position model. The record is from RNAcentral.